Molecule: ribosomal RNA, 268 nt
Filed under: uncultured bacterium
Lineage: Bacteria
Description: partial 16S ribosomal RNA
Rfam family: Bacterial small subunit ribosomal RNA
Source: RNAcentral
GAUGAACGCUAGCGGCAGGCCUAACACAUGCAAGUCGAGGGGCAGCACGGUGUAGCAAUACACUGGUGGCGACCGGCGCACGGGUGCGUAACGCGUAUGCAACCUACCCAUAACAGGGGGAUAACACUGAGAAAUUGGUACUAAUACCCCAUAACAUCAGGACCGGCAUCGGUUCUGGUUGAAAACUCCGGUGGUUAUGGAUGGGCAUGCGUUGUAUUAGCUGGUUGGUGAGGUAACGGCUCACCAAGGCAACGAUACAUAGGGGGAC